UGCGAACCCUUUUGUUUAAUCUUAAAAAAAUUCUUUCGAUUUCGAUUAGAUACUUUUUUCUUUUUUUAGUCAAUUGGUAUUUGCUUCCGCAAUUCCAAUUAUAUCAAUACUUUAUUUAAUUUACUCCUAUUUAUUACUCCUGGAGUUAUCUAUUUACCGGGACAGAUAAUACCCCAUUCUAGGAAGGGCUGAGUUGAGUAUUAUUAAUUUAGAAGAUAUGCUCACCUUCUUAUUUCCCGUCCUUAGUUUAGGAAAGUGGAAAGUUUUUUCCUUUUAUUUUAGGAAUUUUGGGAACAGAACAUUUCAACAAAGGAAGUCUUUCACCGGUCAAACAAGACGUAAGACUUAAUCUAAAAGAAAUUACUAGAUUGAAUCUAUUUGCAUUAAAAAAACGAUCAAAAAAGGGCGAGCGAAGUAAGUGAUCGAAAAACUUUGUUCUUUGUUCGUCCUAUCUAUAAGAGGAGAGCAUAUGAAAAAUGUAACCCAUUCUUUCGUUUUUUAGCUCACUGGCCAUCCGCUAGCAGUUUCAGGCUUAAUACCGAUAUUUUAGCAACAAAUCUAAUAAAUCUAACUGUAGUGGUUGGUGUUUUGAUUUUUUUGGAAAGGGAGUGUGUGCGAGUUGUCUAUUUCAAGAAUAGAUUGGAUCUAUCCGGCUGCACUUUAUAAUAUUUUUUAGUAUUUUUUGGAUAAAUAAGAAAAGGGUGCACGAUCUCGACGAAUUACUUCUGAAUAAAUUCAGAAAUCAUAUGGAAGAACCAUAGCAUUUCGCGACUCAUUGGUAAAUCAACUUUGAUUCUCUAUAAACCAAGAAUGUGAGACCAUUAACACGGUUAAAGCUAAACUGCUUGAAGUCCAGGCAAAAAGAGGUACUCUUUCUACAACUAUAUUAGUAUUAGUACCGAAUUUAAACGGGAAAUAGCUAAUGUAAAAUUUAUCUGAUAUAGAACACUCAUAUAGAUAAAAUGGUUUGAACUAUUUACUAGAAAAAAAGGGGGCACCCUGCCCUUUUGUAAUCAAUGCCGAAUCGACGACCUAUGUAUAAAAAAGAGAAUUUUUUUGGAUUUGAAGAAAAAAAAUAAAAAAGAAUUCUAUUAAUUUUCAUUUUCCAUUUAUUUAGUUAGUUUUUCUUAAUGAAAUUGAAAUUAUUAACUAGAGGGCAAAUAAAAAUAAAGAAACAACUUUGCUGACCAUGAUAUAUUUUUAUCUUGGCAGAAGAGUCCUCUUAAUGUUUAUCUAGUCUUAUAUAGGUUUCGGUAUAUUGAAAUAUAAACAUAAAAAAGAAGAUAGAGGAUAGGCUCAUUACUUAAAAAAAAGAUAUGGAAAUAGCUAUAGAAAAAAAAGGAGCGUGAGAGCCAAAUGAAUCGAAAGAUUCAUGUUUGGUUCGGGAAGAGAUCAUAAAAGGUGUAAACUUACAAAAUAAUCUACUUUCAUUAAAAGAUUUAUAAGAUAAACAAAAACAGAGGAUCUUGAGUACUAUUCGAAAUUCAGAAGAAUUGCAUAGAGGGACCAUUGAGCAACUCAAAAAAGCUCGGAUUCGAUUACAGAAAGUCGAACUAGAAGCGGAUGAGUAUCGAAUGAAUGGAUACUCUGAGAUAGAACGAGAAAAAGCAAAUUUGAUUAAUGCUACUUCUAUUAGUUUGGAAUAAUUGGAAAAGUCUAAAAACGAAACCCUUUAUUUUGAAAAACAAAGGGCAAUGAAUCAGGUCCGACAGCGGGUUUUCCAACAGGCCGUACAAGGAGCUCUAGGAACUCUGAAUAGUUGUUUGAAUACCGAGUUACAUUUCCGUACGAUUCGUGCUAAUAUUGGCAUUCUCGGGUCCCUGGAAUGGAAGAGAUAAUUAAAUUAAUUAGGCCUUGAACUUCUACUUUCGUUUAGAAUUUAGGCAUUAUUUUUCCCCUUGCUUCCGAAAAAAGAGUCAGAAACACUAAUGGCAACCCUUCGAGUCAACGAUAUUCAUAAAAUUCUCCGCGAACGUAUUGAACAAUAUAAUAGGAAAGUAGGGAUUGAGAAUAUAGGUCGCGUAGUUCAAGUGGGGGAUGGGAUUGCUCGUAUUAUAGGUCUUGGUGAAAUAAUGUCAGGUGAAUUACUCGAAUUUGCAGAAGGUACUAGGGGUAUUGCUCUGAAUUUGGAAUCCAAAAAUGUUGGGAUUGUAUUAAUGGGCGAUGGGUUGAUGAUACAAGAGGGAAGUUUUGUAAAAGCAACAGGAAGAAUUGCUCAGAUACCCGUGAGUGAGGCUUACUUGGGUCGUGUUGUAAAUGCUCUGGCUAAACCUAUUGAUGGGAAAGGCGAAAUUAUAGCUUCCGAAUCUCGCUUAAUUGAAUCUCCUGCUCCAAGUAUAAUUUCCAGGCGUUCCGUAUACGAACCUCUUCAAACAGGGCUUAUUGCUAUCGAUUCGAUGAUCCCUAUAGGGCGCGGUCAGCGAGAGUUAAUUAUUGGGGACAGACAGACUAGCAAAACAACAGUAGCCACAGAUACAAUUCUCAAUCAAAAAGGCCAAGGUGUAAUAUGUGUUUAUGUAGCUAUCGGUCAAAGAGCAUCCUCCGUAGCUCAAGUAGUAACUACUUUCCACGAGGAGGGGGCUAUGGAAUACACUAUUGUAGUAGCUGAAAUGGCGGAUUCACCUGCUACAUUACAAUACCUUGCUCCUUAUACGGGAGCAGCCCUGGCUGAGUAUUUUAUGUACCGCGAACGGCAUACUUUCAUAAUUUAUGAUGAUCUCUCCAAACAGGCACAAGCUUAUCGCCAAAUGUCCCUUCUAUUAAGAAGACCUCCCGGCCGUGAGGCUUAUCCAGGGGAUGUUUUUUAUUUGCAUUCACGCCUUUUAGAAAGAGCCGCUAAAUUAAAUUCCCUUUUAGGCGAAGGAAGUAUGACCGCUUUACCAAUAGUUGAGACUCAAUCUGGAGACGUUUCCGCCUAUAUUCCUACUAAUGUAAUCUCCAUUACAGAUGGACAAAUAUUCUUAUCUGCGGAUCUAUUCAAUGCCGGAAUUCGACCCGCUAUUAAUGUGGGUAUUUCUGUUUCCAGAGUAGGAUCCGCGGCUCAAAUUAAAGCCAUGAAACAAGUAGCUGGCAAAUCAAAAUUGGAACUAGCGCAAUUCGCAGAGUUACAAGCCUUUGCACAAUUCGCCUCUGCUCUCGAUAAAACAAGUCAGAAUCAAUUGGCAAGGGGUCGACGAUUAAGGGAAUUGCUUAAACAAUCCCAGGCAAAUCCUCUCCCAGUGGAAGAGCAGAUAGCUACUAUUUAUACCGGAACAAGAGGAUAUCUUGAUUCGUUAGAAAUUGAACAGGUAAAUAAAUUUCUGGAUGAGUUACGUAAACAUCUAAAAGAUACUAAACCUCAAUUCCAAGAAAUUAUAUCUUCUAGCAAGACAUUCACCAAGCAAGCGGAAAUCCUUUUGAAGGAAGCUAUUCAGGAACAGCUGGAACGGUUUUCUCUUCAGUAACAAAUAAAUUUUGCAUGUCUACUCUUGUUAGUAGAAUAGGAAUCGUUGAGAAAGCCUUUUCAUUUGAAUCAUGCAAAAAAGUUUUCUUUGUUUUUAGUUUAGUAUAGUUAUUUAAAGAAUAGAUAGAAAUAAGAUUGCGUCCAAUAGGAUUUGAACCUAUACCAAAGGUUUAGAAGACCUCUGUCCUAUCCAUUAGACAAUGGACGCUUUUCUUUCAUAUUUUAUUCUUUCUUUUAUUUUAUUGCUUCUUCCGAGAAAAAACUGUUAGACCAAAACUCUUUUAGGAAAUCAAAAAAUCCAGAUACAAAUGCAUGAUGUAUAUAUUAUAUCAUGCAUAUAUCAUAAAGAAGGAGUAUGGAGGCGGUAGUGGGAGUCGAACCCGCAACCCCAAGGUUAUGAGCCUUAUGAGCUACCAAACUGCUCUAUACUCUUAAACUGAAGAGGGGUAACUAGGGGAUAAAAGAGGGUUGGAUACGCCCCUCUACCAAUAUCUAUACAAAUAGAAUAGUCCAUUUAUACAGAAUGGUAAAGAGGGCUCCUCUAUGAUUAUCAAUUCCAGAAAUCCAUACAAAUACGAAAGGGUAUUUUAUCCUUACCAACUGGAUCUUGUUGCACCCGGUAACAAACACUCAUAAACCAUUUCUCAAAGUACGUGUCCGGAUAGCCCAAAAUGUCGAUAGUUAGCUCUAGGUCUUCCGGUCAAAAAACAACUCGAUGAAGGCGUGUAGGUGCACUAUUACGCGGUAGGGAUUGCAAUUUUUCUCGCAUUUUCGUUUUUCACUCAAACUCAAGGGAGAAACUUUGCUUCUUAUCUUUUUUUUAAAGAUUGACGAAUCAAAUGAUAUUUCUGUUCUAAUUUCUGCCGCUUCUUCUCCCUCUGAAUCAAACUUUUUUUUGCCAUAAUGUGUCGUUGCUAUUAUUACCAAGUAUAUGGUUCUAAUCAUAGAUGGAAAAAUAAAUAGAAAAAGAAAUCUAAAAAGGCAGAUCCUCCCUCUCUAUCAAGAGUAAUGAACUAGGUGCUGAUAUAGUACAAAAAAAACUAAAUUAACCAAACUUGCCUGAUGUUGAGGCAAUCAAGAAAGCUGCAUAAGUGAAUAUAUAACUCACGGAAAAGUGAGCUAAUCCAACCAAUCUUGCUCGCACAAUGGAAAGAGCCACGGGCUUAUCUCUCCAGCGAAUUAAAUUAGCUAAAGGUGUGCGUUCAUGAGCCCAUGCUAAAGUCUCAAUUAAUUCCUGCCAAUACCCCCGCCAGGAAAUUAAGAACAUAAAUCAAGUAGCCCAAACAAGAUGUCCAAAUAAGAACAUCCACGCCCAUACCGAUAAACUAUUCAUCCCAAAAGGAUUAUAUCCAUUGAUAAGUUGUGAAGAGUUUAACCAUAGGUAAUCUCUUAACCAUCCCAUCAAAUAAGUGGAGGAUUCAUUAAAUUGUGAAACGUUGCCCUGCCAUAAUGUGAUAUGUUUCCAAUGCCAAUAAAAAGUAACCCACCCAAUGGUAUUUAACAUCCAUAAAACUGCCAAAUAAAAUGCGUCCCAAGCAGAAAUAUCACAAGUACCGCCGUGCCCUGGGCCGUCACAAGGAAAACUAUAUCCAAAAUCCGUUUUAUCUGGCAUUAAUUUGGAACCGCGUGCAUCUAAAGCGCCCUUUACUAAAAUCAAUGUAGUUGUAUGCAAACCUAGAGCAAUAGCAUGAUGAACCAAGAAAUCCCCAGGUCCUAUUGUUAAGAAAAGCGAAUUACUAUUCUCAUUAACAACAUUCAACCAUCCGGGCAACCAUAGGCUUCGACCCGCAUUGAAAGCGGGGCCAUUCGUUGAAGAUAAGAGUAUAUCGAACCCAUAUGUCGUCUUGCCAUGAGCAGAUUGUAUCCAUUGGGAAAAUAUAGGUUCGAUCAAGAUUUGCUUUUCUGGAGUACCAAAAGCAAGCAUGACGUCGUUAUGAACAUAAAGGCCCAAGGUAUGGAACCCUAGAAAGAGGCUAGCCCAACUUAAAUGAGAUAUGAUAGCUUCUUUAUGGUCUAACAUUCUUGCCAAUACAUUAUCCUCAUUCUGUUCUGGAUUGUAAUCCCUAAUGAAAAAAAUAGCUCCAUGAGCAAAAGCCCCUGUCAUGAUGAACCCUGCAAUAUAUUGGUGAUGAGUAUAUAAAGCAGCUUGAGUAGUAAAGUCUUGUGCUAUGAAUGCAUAAGGAGGUAAAGAGUACAUAUGUUGAGCUACUAAGGAAGUAAUAACCCCUAAAGAAGCUAGAGCAAGACCUAACUGAAAAUGAAUCGAAUUGUUGAUUGUGUCAUAAAGGCCCUUAUGCCCACGCCCUAAUCGACCCCCCGGAGGAGUAUGCGCUUCUAAAAGAUCUUUAAUAUUGUGCCCAAUUCUGAAGUUAGUUCGAUACAUGUGACCGGCAAUGAGAAAAAUAAAUGCAAUAGCUAAAUGAUGGUGAGCCAUAUCGGUCAGCCACAAACUUUGCGUUUGUGGAUGGAUCCCCCAAGAAGAGUUAGAAUGGCAGUUCCUGCUCCUUGAGCGGUACCAAAUAAAUGAUUACUCGAAUCAGGGUUUUGGGCAUAAAGAUUCCAUUGACCCGUCAAAAGGGGUCCCAACCCCUGGGGAUAGGGUAAUACAUCUAAGAAAUUAUUCCAUUGAACGUACCCCCCUGGAUGCGGGAAUAGCAACAUGAACUAAAUGUCCUGUCCAAGCCAAAGAACUUACCCCGAAAAGUCCUGACAAAUGAUGAUUGAGACGAGAUUCCGCGUUUUUGAACCACGAAAGGCUUGGUUUCCAUUUGGGUUGUAGAUGUAACCAACCCGCUAUUAAGGACAGCGUAGAAAGAAAUAAUAGAAAAAGAGCUCCAAUAUAAAGAUGCUCAUUGGUGCGUAAUCCUAUUGUAUACCACCACUGAUAAACUCUAGAAUAAGCAAUAUUCACUGGACCAGCAGCACCUCCUCGAGUAAAGGCUUCCACAGCGGGUUGACCAAAAUGAGGAUCCCAAAUCGCAUGAGCAAUAGGUCUUACGUGUAAAGGAUCCUGUAUCCAUGAUUCAAAAUUUCCUUGCCAAGCUACAUGAAACAGAUUUCCGGACGUCCAUAGAAAGAUUAUUGCUAAUUGCCCAAAGUGAGAAGCAAAAAUGUUCUGAUAAAGACAUUCUUCAGUAAUAUCAUCAUGACUUUCGAAAUCAUGUGCGGUAGCAAUACCAAACCAAAUAUGACGAGUAGUGGGGUCCUGAGCUAAGCCUUGGCUAAACCUGGGAAAUCUUAAUUCCAUAAUGCCUUUCAAAUCCUCCUAGCCACUAUCCUACUGCAAUAAUUCUCGCUAAGAAGAAUGCCCAUGUCGUGGCAAUUCCACCCAGAAGGUAAUGGGUUACUCCUACAGCGCGUCCUUGUAUAAUGCUCAAGGCUCUAGGCUGAGUAGCAGGAGCAACUUUUAAUUUGUUAUGAGCCCAAACGAUAGAUUCAAUGAGUUCUUGCCAAUAACCAUGGCCGCUGAAUAAAAGCAUUAAACUGAAGGCCCAGACAAAAUGAGCACCUAAGAAAAAAAGACCAUAUGCAGAUAAUGAAGAACCAUAAGACUGAAUGACUUGCGAUGCCUGUGCCCACAAGAAAUCUCGAAGCCACCCAUUAAUCGUAAUGGAACUCUGUGCAAAGUUUCCCCCUGUAAUAUGAGUUACCACCCCUUGAUCACUUAUAGUACCCCAAACAUCCGAAUGCAUUUUCCAACUGAAAUGGAAAAUGACUACCGAAAUUGCAUUGUACAUCCAGAAUAAACCUAUGAAAACAUGAUCCCAGGCGGAUACUUGACAUGUUCCCCCUCGGCCAGGCCCAUCGCAAGGAAAGCGAAAACCUAGAUUUGCUUUAUCGGGUAUUAAACGGGAACUCCGAGCAAAUAAAACACCUUUCAAAAGUAUUAAUACAGUCACAUGUAUGGUAAAUGCAUGAAUGUGAUGGACUAAAAAAUCUGCGGUUCCUAAUGGAAUAGGUAACAAAGCCACUUUGCCACCUACUGCUACUAACUCGCCGCCUCCCCACGUUAAGCUAGUACUUGUUGUUGCACCAGGAGCUGUUACGCCAGGCGCAGUAGCAUGGAUAUUUGUACCCAUUGAGCAAAGAUAGGUUGUAAUUGUAUGGCAGUAUCCGAAAACAUAUCUUGUGGACGGCCUAAAGCACUCAUGGUAUCAUUAUGAAUGUACAAGCCAAAACUGUGAAAACCUAGAAAUAUACAUACCCAGUUAAGGUGGGAUAUGAUUGCAUCGCGGUGUCUAAGGACGCGAUCUAAUAGAUCGUUGUAUCGAGUAGUUGGAUCAUACUCUCUUACCAUAAAAAUUGCUGCAUGUGCAGCAGCACCGACUAUUAGAAAUCCGCCAAUCCACAUGUGGUGUGUGAACAAGGAAAGUUGUGUACCAUAGUCAGUAGCUAGGUAUGGAUAGGGAGGCAUAGAAUACAUAUGAUGAGCUACAACAAUGGUUGUAGAGCCUAGCAUAGCUAGGUUAAGAGAUAAUUGAGCAUGCCAUGACGUUGUUAAGAUUUCAUAAAGACCCUUAUGGCCUUGUCCUGUAAAUGGGCCCUUGAAGCCUCCAAAAUAUCUUUAAGUCCAUGGCCAAUACCCCAAUUGGUCCUAUACAUAUGACCUGCGAUUAGGAAAAGAAUAGCAAUAGCUAAAUGAUGGUGCGCAAUAUCGGUCAGCCAGAGACCACCGGUUACUGGAUCUAGUCCUCCGCGAAAAGUCAGAAAUUCUGCGUAUUUGGACCAAUUUAAAGUGAAAAAGGGGUUGCUCCUUCGGCAAAACUAGGAUAAAGUUGAGCCAAAAGGUCCCGAUUCAAGAUAAAUUCAUGAGGAAGUGGUAUCUCUUUAGGAUCCACCCCAGCGUCAAGAAAUUGGUUAAUUGGUAAAGAUACAUGAAUUUGGUGCCCCGCCCAAGAAAGAGACCCAAGUCCUAAUAAUCCCGCUAAGUGGUGAUUCAACAUGGAUUCUACAUCUUGGAACCAGGCCAAUUUGGGAGCGGCUUUGUGAUAAUGGAACCAACCAGCAAAAAGCAUUAACGCUGCAAAAAUCAAUGCACCAAUUGCAGUACAAUAGAGUUGUAAUUCACUAGUUAUUCCAGAUGCUCGCGAAAGCUGAAAAAAACCAGAGGUUAUUUGGAUUCCUCGGAAACCCCCGCCUACAUCACCAUUCAAUAUUUCUUGCCCUACUAUAGGCCAAACUACCUGAGCACUGGGUCCAAUGUGAGUAGGAUCACUUAGCCAUGCUUCAUAAUUGGAAAAACGGGCGCCAUGAAAGUACAUGCCACUCAACCAAAGAAAGAUAAUGGAAAGUUGCCCGAAAUGAGCACUAAAGACUUUUCGAGAAAUCUCCUCCAAAUCACCAGUAUGACUAUCGAAAUCGUGAGCAUCAACAUGUAGGUUCCAGAUCCAAGUGGUAGUAUCAGGGCCCUUAGCUAGUGUUCUUGAGAAAUGGCCGGGUCUGGCCCAUUCCUCAAAAGAUGUUUCUACAGGAUCCCUAUCCACAACAAUUUUUACUUCUGGUUCCGGUGAACGAAUAAUCAUUAAGUCCUCCUCUUUCUGGACAAGACAUACAAAGAGACCCGCCAACUGUCUUUUUAGUGAAUCUUUGAAAGAUAUAUAUUUUGAAAGAUAGAUUUUGAAAGAUAGAUAUUGUGAUUAGUUCUUUUCUUUACUAUCUACCAUCCUUCUAUUUUUUUUUAGUUAUUCACUGGAGCAAUUAUAUAUUGAAGUCAAUCCGAGGCAAGUGUUCGGGUCUAUUAUGACAUAAAGAUUAGGUGCCUAACGGACAUUGUUUAUCUUGAAAAACAAAUAUUUCUCGACGUAAGAAAAAAAUCUUUUUUAUUUUUAAUUUAAGAAACUAGUGUAUUUUUUUGAGGGCAUAAGCUCCUAUCUAUAUCUACUUUCCUUGAGCAUAAUAUAGGGUUUUUUAUUUGAUUCUAAAUUCCAAGAUAACUCAUUAGAAUUAUUAAUAAGAUGGUCCUAAUAUAUUAGCAAUAUUUAUAUUGCCCCCUCUUUUUAUUCACUUUAUUACUUCUAUUCUAGACCCUAUCCCUAUGGUUUAUUCUUAUGAAAUAUCAUAUAAAAUAGAAGGUAUAAGAAAUGGAUAUAAUGAAAUUCUUGAUUCGAUCUUACGACCUAAUUUAUUUGAUUAAUGGAUCAACAACCAAACCACCCAUUUUAUGAAAAAGAAGGAGCAUGGUCUUAUUCAAAUUCAAAGCGCUUCGUAAUCUUCAACCAGUUCUGUGCUUCAAUAUAAUUUCCCGGAGUAAGCGCUAUAGCUUGUUUCCAACAUUCAGCAGCUUGAUCAAACCAAGCUUCCGCAAUUUCUGAAUCACCCUGUAGAAUGGCCUGUUCUCCUUGGUCGGAAUAGGAAGUUCCUUCCCUUAGAACCGUACUUGAGAGUUUCCUACCUCAUACGGCUCAGAAAUUGCUAUCUGAAUUUCCCCUAUCUUAACUGAAUUCGAUUUAUCAAAAAUCGAUCCAAUUUGUUCUUGGGUUAAGCAGAAGAAAUUAAUUACCUAAGUUUCAAACCCUAAUUUUUAUCAAUAAUCAGUUUGAUCUUUUUUCCCACCUUCAGAAGAAUGAAGCAUAGAUAGAUAUAGAGCCUUCAUUCAAAUUUUCUGAAAGGUAACUAUCCCGUUUUCAUAUAUGAAAUCUCUAUAGAAUCCUUGAAAAAGAAUUUUUCCAUAAGAAAGAAAAAAGAACUUACUAUCUUUGGGAUCUGAUACUACACCGCUGCUUAAUCCCUUAGUGGAUCGGCUCUAUUACAUAAGCGGAUUCCUAAAUUUUGCCCCAUAUCAUGGGAUAAGUAAGCAGUUUUUUUAGUUGUAUCGACCCAGUCGCUCACUAAUUGAUCUUUACGGUGCUUUCUCUAUCAAUUUGAGAAACUUUAUCCAUAGAGUAGUAGUAUAGGCCAUACUUUCUUCUUUUUUGAUUCUCGUGAAGUGUCCUUCCUUCCUACAGCUGAUAGGGAAAAAUCGUUGUUUUUAUGAUCCCUAUGUAGAAAGCCCUUUUUUCUAGUAUUUACUAGAAAAUUUGAUCCUCUCUUUUUUUUCUUUCUUUUCUAUAGUGGAGAUAGUCGCACGUAAUGACAGAUCACGGCCAUAUUAUUAAAAGCUUGCGGUAAGAAGGGGUUUCGUUCUAGUGCCCGGAAAUAAUAUUCCAAAGCCUUUGUAUGCUCUCCAUUGCUUGUGUGUAUAAGGCCUAUGUUAUAGAGUAUAUAACUUCGAUCAUAGGGAUCGAUUUCUAGUCGCGUAGCUUCAUAAUAAUUUUGCAAAGCUUCCGCAUAAUUUCCUUCGGAUUGAGCCAACAUCCGUUACGGUCAUUCAUUCUAUUCAAAAAAUCUCCGUUCCAAAACCGUACAUGAGGUUUUCAUCUCAUACGGCUCCUCCCUUCUGUACAUAAUAGUACUAAGCGAAAUAAUCUAUAGAAUCAAAAUAGAAUUAGUCCCGUCUCAUUAUGAACUGAAAGGGGCUGGUAUUUUUCCAAGAAAUCUCUAGCCAACCUUCCCACAAGAGGUUUUUCUUAACACCAAUGAAUUCUAUUAAUGCUAGAGGAAAACGAUAGCUCCAAUAAUUUCUUUGUUCUCAACGCGUCCUAUUUAGAGGAAUUAGCUACUUCAACGAUCUUUGAUGGUUAUAGGGGUAUCCAAAGUACAAACCUGAUGGUUGUUUGUUAUCCCAACCAUUAUUCCUAGCCCUGAUACCGAUCAGGAAAGGGGUAAUUUCUAACAAAGUUUUUCUCUUGUUGAUUCCUAUUUCUAGGUGUAGUGCUUUUCUCCCCUAUGCUGCCUACGGAUACUAAUAGAGUAGGAUUGGCCUGUAAUCCAUACCAUACCAUAUCCUGUAGGUGUAACCUUUCGCUCAAUACUCAAAUCUACAAUUGAAGUAUCUGAAGCCGCAUCAAUCGAGGAUACACGACGGAAGGAAUUGUUAGUUCGCCUCACCUUCCUGAAGCGUGGGUUUGUUUGCUUUACAAAUUUGGUUCUCUCUAUGCCAACCCCCUCUCUUUUUCGUAAGACUGAGGUAUAGGUAGGGCUAAAAAAAGCAAAAAAAAUGAGUCAAAUCGCACCAUCUCUAUAAUAAGUAAAUGCCUUUUUUUCUCCUGAGGUUGUCGGAAUUAUUCACAAUAAAAUAUUGGCUACAAUUGAGGAGGUCUUAUCAAUGAAAUUUCCAUUUACACGGGAUCUAGGCAUAAUUCCCAACCCAUUCUAUAUAGAAUUGUUUUCAUUCCUUCACAAAAUAACAUAAAAACAAACAUAUUCGAUUCUUAUAAUUAUAAAUAGAUUGAUCCAUAUGCUCUACUCUAAAUCCAUAUGCUUUAAAUGGAUAAGAGAGAUAGAGAUAUGGAUUUUCCGCUCAGCUCAAAUUGUAUCCUUUUCCUUCUGCUUGGACACGAAGAGAUAUGAAAUAUUUGACUAAGACUGGAUUUCAUUCCACUUUGCUAUUUCUGAACAACAACUUAUGUUAUCAACUAUUUCGUGUUUUCAAAGUUAUUAAUUGUCUCAUACCCUAUUUGUGAUUUCGAUAGUAUGGUGUAGCGUAUCUUAUGCAAACGGAAUUCUAAGGUUUCUUUAUUUUAUUAUGCAAUAAGAAGAAUUCUUCCAUUUUCUUUUUCUUUAGUUGCGGGAAAACCCAAAUUAAAACUUUUAUUUUAUAGCGAGCGCAAUUUCUAGUAAAAAAUCCUGUAUCCUUCCACUUAGAUCAAAAGGAAUUUUUCCAAUAGAACUAUGGAACCCCCGAGUGGUUGCGGUUGUACCUGUACUGCAGGAAUAAGAAAACUCGCUAUUCACUCAGUUUAUUUUCCAUAAUAAGUUAUGUAGGAGAGAUGGCCGAGCGGUUCAAGGCGUAGCAUUGGAACUGCUAUGUAGACUUUUGUUUACCGAGGGUUCGAAUCCCUCUCUUUCCGUUUUUCUUAUUUCAUCAACGUUAAGGAUCACAAUGUAUCAAAUCAAAUAACAAUUUUUUCCAGCAAUAAUAUCUUAUAUUAUCUUAUUUUGAUAUAAUAGAAAUUAGAAAUUCUCUAUAGCAAAUUACUGUGGUAUGUAAAAUACACAUAGAGGAAAAAAGAAAAAAGGAUCCUAAUCCUAGGGUUAAUCAAUUUUAGCUAGUUGAUGGGAAAAUACAAAUUAAUGGUAAUGGUCUUAGGGCGAUUUAGUUCGGGGAAAGGGGAAGGGGAAGAAAAUUCUAUGAACCUUUCCUUUUUUGGUUAAGUUCAAGUCUGACGAGAGUAAUAUUCUACAACUAACAACUCAUUUAUUUUGAGACCGACCCACUUCCUAUCUAGGAUUUUAUUUACUAGUCCUUUAUAUUCCAACGUGUCAAUCGCCAAAUGCUUUGGCAAUUUCCCCGGGUCCGAUGAAGCAAUAUAAUUUUGAACCAGACCUUUUGAUCUUUGGCUAUCUUUCGUAGUAAUAAUAUCUCGGGGUUUGCAACGAAAACUUGGUAUAUUGACUAUACGACCAUUAACUAAAAUAUGUCUAUGGUUGACUAAUUGGCGGGCCCCAGGAAUGGUUGAAGCCAUACCAAUCGAAAAAGGAUAUUAUCCAAACGCAUUUCAAGUAAUUGUAGUAAAACCUGGCCUGUUGACCUUUUUGCUUUUCCAGCGAUAUGUACAUAUCUAAGUAAUUGUCGUUCUGUCAGACCAUAAUGAAAACGCAAUUUCUGUUUUUCUUGAACACGAAUACGAUAUUGCUCCUUUUUCCCAGAAAUGAAUUUAUUUUUAAGAUUACCUUUGAUUUAGGUGUUUUUCUAGUGAGUCCUGGUAAAGCUCCCAGACGGCGUAUUUUUUUAAACGAGGUCCUCGAUAACGGGACAUGAAGACUCCUUUUUUUAUUUUAUUGAAAUUUCAUUUUACACAAUUAAUUUCAUUGUAUUUACAUUACAGAAUACAUCGAAAUUAAAACUGAAUUAAACUACAGGAUAAACAGAGUAAAAUCAACUAAAGUACCCAAAAAAAUGGAAUUUCAUCAAAAUCUUUAUUUUUUGUAUAUAUAUUAUUUAUUUUAUUGUUUUGUAUCUAGCAAAAUUGUAAGGUAAAAAACAUAAAAGAUCCUGGAUUCUCCAUUUAAUUCGGAAAAAAAGAGAUUCUUGUUCGUAGAACAUCGAUAGAGAAAAAAAGCCGACUAUCGGAUUUGAACUGAUGACCCUCGCAUUACAAAUGCGAUGCUCUAACCUCUGAGCUAAGUGGGCUUACAUAACGGAAAUAGUGUAACAAAUAGAAAUAGGUAUAGUAUAGGAAAUCCAUAAAAUCUCAGAUAUUAGUUAUUAAUCUUAGCUAUUAACUAGUUCUAAAUUUGAAGUUAUACUUAUAAAAAUAAAAAAAUACUAAAACUUCUUAAAGAUAAAGUUAGCUUGAUAUGCUUAACUAUAGGAUAUUAAAAAAUAAAAUUAUAGAAUUUAUUGGUAUUUUCAUUUGAUCAUUAUAGACUUUAUUAUUUGUUAAUAAUUUGAGGAUUAAUAUUUCACUAAGGGGAACAUAGAGUCAGAGUAAAUAAAAUUGCUAAUUCUGAUUAGAAAAAAAGAAUAAAUAUCAAGCGUUAUAGUAUAAUUUUGAAUACUAUAAAAAAGUAAGACGGGAGGUGGGGGAGAUAAAAACUUUUGGAUAUAUUGAUUCGGAUUGAAUUGCAAAUACAUCAAGGAUAGAAUCAAUUCAAUUGUGAAUUGCAAUAAGCAAGCGAGGUCUCUCAAAUAGAGUCGAACUGAACUGCUAGACUACGUUGAGUGAUGAACUCAAUGAUUCAAAAAAAACUAAGAGAUGGAUGAAAUUACACAAGGAAUCCUGGUCUCAAAGAAGAGGGAAAUGGGGAUAUGGCGAAAUCGGUAGCCGCUACGGACUUGAUUGUAUUGAGCCUUGGUAUGGAAACCUGCUAAGUGGUAACUUCCAAAUUCAGAGAAACCCUGGAAUUGAAAAAGGGCAAUCCUGAGCCAAAUCCGUGUUUUGAGAAAACAAGGGGUUCUCGAACUAGAAUACAAAGGAAAAGGAUAGGUGCAGAGACUCAAUGGAAGCUGUUCUAACGAAUCGAGUUAAUUACGUUGUGUUGUUAGUGGAAUUCCUUCUAAUUCUAAAUUAGAGAAAGUGGGGUUUUUAUACCUUAUACAUUUAAUAAACACGUAUAGAUACUGACAUAGCAAACGAUUAAUCACAGAACUCAUAUUAUAUUAUAAUUAUAAUAUAGGUUCUUUAUCUUUUUAAAAAAUGAAAUUAGAAAUGAUAAUGAUUAUGAAAUAAAAAACUCAUAUCAUAAUUUUUUUUUUCAUUAUUGUGAAUCCAGUCCAAUCGAAUAUUGAAUAAUCAAAUUCUUCAAUUUAAAUUCAAAGUUUUUGAGAUCUUUAAAAAGUGGAUUAAUCGGACGAGGACAAAGAGAGAGUCCCAUUCCACAUGUCAAUACUGACAACAAUGAAAUUUCUAGUAAAAGGAAAAUCCGUCGACUUUAUAAGUUGUGAGGGUUCAAGUCCCUCUAUCCCCAAAUCCUCUUUUAUUCCCUAACUAUACUAUAUUAUUAUUAUUUAUCCUGUUUUUUAUCUUUUUAUCAAUGCAAUGGCAAUGGGUUUAAGAUUCAUUAGCUUUCUCAUUCUACUCUUUCACAAAGGAAUGCGAAGAGAACUCAAUGGAUCUUAUCCUAUUCAUUGAAUAGAUUUCUUUUUUAUUAGAGUAUCGGCAAGAAAUCUUGGUUAUUCACUCUAUUUUUAAGUUUUAUUUAAGUAAACCAUGCACAAUGCAUAGGACUACCCCCCCCCCCAUUUUCAAAUUUCAAAUUUGAAAUACUUUAAUUAAUUUUUAGUCCUUUUAAUUGACAUAGAUACAAAUACUCUACUAGGAUGAUGCACAAGAAAAGGUCAGGAUAGCUCAGUUGGUAGAGCAGAGGACUGAAAAUCCUCGUGUCACCAGUUCAAAUCUGGUUCCUGGCAGAGAAAAAAAAAGAUCCACCGAAUAGGUAUUGAUCCAAAUACCUCGAGAUGGAUUGUGAUACAUAUUCAUUAAUAAUAUUUAUUCAUCUAAGUGGAUAAAUCUAUAAUAUAAAUAUAGAGGCACUUCUUUUUCUUUUUAAAGAAGUUUUAAAAUAUAUCUUUUCUUUAUGAUAAAGAAGGGGGUGAGAUUCCCCUUUAUUUUUUUGCGUUUCUUAAUUUUGUAUUCCGCUAUUCCGACGAAUAUUUUUUUAGUCUUGCUUAUCUUUAUCUUAUCUUAUUUUCCUAGUUGUGCUAAGUAAUGUGCGCGGUACAAAGUUCCUGGUUGAGAACUUCUUUGAGUCAUCCUAUUUUUCUGUUCAUAUGAAGGAAAUUAAUAUGCGAUUUUCAAAAUAGGGGAAUCCAAAUGAAACCCUUUUUUUGCUCAGUCUAUCUGGAAUGCUUUUGUAUAAUUAGGAAUUAAUUAUAAAUAGGUAUUCCGUUUCAUCUAGGAAAAGAACCUAAAAAUAUUCCUUGACUUGAAUAAAAUCUGGAGUUGUGUUGUAUAAGUGAGCAUGAAUUUCUUAUCAUUCAAUGAGCAUCUUGUAUUUCAUAAAAAUUGGGGGUUAUAUAAUCCUUACGUAAGGGCCAGCCUAUCCAACUUUCAGGCAUUAGGAUACGUUUAAGGCACGGAUGAUUAUCAUAAGAGAUUCCCACCAUAUCAUAAGAUUCGCGUUCUUGAAAAUUGGCACUUCUCCAAAUCCAGAAGACAGACGGAAUUCUAGGAUUAUCCUUUUGGGCAAAGACUUUUAUGCAGACUUCUUCUGGAUUAUCUAUACCAUAUUGUAUUCUCGUAAGAUGAUACACGCUAGCUAAAGAUCCACCGGGUGCUACAUCAUAAGCACAUUGGGAGCGUAAAUAAUUGUAACCAUAUACAUAUAAAAUGACAGCAAUGGAAUCCCAAUCCCCUGCUUUUGUUUGUAAAGUCUCUAUUCCUCGGUGAUCAAAGCCCAAAGAUCUAUGAACCACCUCAUGUUUGACUAGCCAAUUAGAUAACCAACCCUGCUACAUUGUCUUCAUCUCUCCCUCUUUGUAUAAAUAUUUCACAUUUCGGAUGUAAGUUUGAAAGAUUGCCCUGCUUUUUAUUUUUCUACACAAAAGAGCCCCUCUCCUAAUUCACUAAUUUGUAGGAAGGUACUGAACUUUUGGAUUUGAAAAAAGUUUCAGAAGAUAUAUCUAAUGUAGAUGGUGAUUGAUAGAGCAAUUCUUGCUCAUAAGUUCCUGUAUGAGUACUGCGCCUAACAUAAAGCUUGUGACUGGUAGUAAAACAUCUAUUUUUAUUUUGAGAUAGAGUUUGAUCCUCAACUAUUUCUCGCGAUAUCUUCUUACGAAGUUUUGUUAGGGCAUCUAUAACUGCCUCCGGUUUAGGUGGGCAGCCCGGCAAGUAGACAUCCACAGGAAUUAACUUAUCAACUCCCCGAACAGUACUAUAGGAAUCUGUACUGAACAUUCCCCCUGUAAUAGUACAGGCUCCCAUAGCAAUGACGUAUUUUGGUUCAGGCAUUUGCUCGUAUAAUCUCACUAAAGAGGGAGCCAUUUUCAUUGUUACCGUACCGGCUGUUAAAAUUAGGUCUGCUUGCCUAGGACUUGAUCUUGGUACCAAUCCAUAACGAUCAAAGUCGAAUCGUGAGCCUAUUAAUGAAGCAAAUUCAAUGAAACAACAACUGGUACCGUAUAGAAGGGGCCAUAAACUGGAGAGUCUUGACCAAUUCGAAAGAUCAUUUGGUGUAGUUGAAAUAACAGAAUUGGAAUUUGUUUGGUCAAGUAAGGGAAACUCAAUCAAAUUCAUAACUGUCUCAAUAGAAUCUUUUCCUUCUUUUUUUUGUCUAAAUAUUCAGUUAAGACCAUUCCAAGGCUCCUUUUCGCCAUGCAUAAACUAAACCAACAACUAAGAUAAGCACGAAAAUCAAAGCUUCAAUAAAAACGGAUACACCCAAUACGUCGAAACUCAUUGCCCAAGGGUAUAGAAAGACGGUUUCCACAUCAAAAACAACAAAAACGAGCGCAAACAUAUAAUAGCAUAUUCGGAAUUGUACCCAAGCCCCUCCCAUGGGUUCUAUACCCGAUUCAUAACUAGAAAGCUUCUCUGGUCCUUCACUAACCGGGGCUAAAAGUCCUGAAAUCGAAAAUGCCAAAAUAGGAAUAAGGCUUGCUAUUAUUAGAAAUGUCCAAAAAAAUAUCAUAUUCGUGAAGCAGAAACAUAAUGUACUCCCAUUAAUGUGGAAUAGCCGGAACUUAAAUUAGUCAAUUCAAUUCAGCAUUGUCAAUUUAUCCAGAACUUCUCUCUUUUCCUCGGUGAAACAAGAAUCUUUUUUGUUCAAACAAAAGCGCUUAGUUUAGCCUUUGUUUCCUCUAUGCUGCAUCUUCUUUAAAGAUUCAUCCAAUGGAAUCCCAACUCCCUUUCUUUUGGAUUUCCAUUCUAUUUAGAUAUGGUGUAUGUAGAUCUAAUUCUUAUAUAAAGAAAACUUUCUCAUUUCACUUUGUCUCGCUUUCUCUAGAAUCUAUCUUGCCGAGAUCUUCAUCCCUAAAGAUACUUGACAAUAGUAUUAUUGGAGUGGAUACACAACUCACAAAAAAUACAAGAAGUCGACUAGGCGGACUGGUCCGAGUGAAGAGAAAAAAAAGCCAUACGGAACUCAAAAUAUUUUCCGGAGAUAUUCAUUUUCCUGAAGAGGCGGAUAAGAUAUUAGGUGGCUGUUUGAUACCGCCAGAAAGACAAAAAAAAGAUUCUAAGGAAUCAAAAAAAAGGAAAAAUUGGGUCUAUGUUCAACGGAAAAAAAUUCUCAAGAGCAAGGAAAAGUAUUUUGUUUCCGUUCGCCCUACAGUGGCAUAUGAAAUGGACGAAGGAAGAAAUUUAGCAACACUUUUCCCGCAGGAUCUCUUGCAAGAAGAAAAUAAUCUCCAAAUUCGACUUGUCAAUUUUAUUUCUCAUGAAAAUAGCAAGUUAACUCAAAGAAUUUAUCACACAAAUAGUCAAUUUGUUAGAACUUGCUUAGUAGUGAAUUGGGAACAAGAAGAAAAAGAAAAGGCUGGUGCUUCCCUUGUUGAGGUAAGAGCAAAUGAUCUUAUUCGCGAUUUCCUAAGAAUUGAGUUAGUCAAGUCCACUAUUUCGUAUACAUGAAAAAGGUAUGGUAGGACAAGUGCAGGACCGAUUCCCCAUAAUAGGUUAGAUCGUGCCAAUAUCAAUACUUUUUAUUCCAAGGCGAAGAUUGAAUCACUUAGCCAACAUCCAGAAACUAUUGGCACUUUGUUGAAUCGAAAUAAAGAAUACCACUCUUUGAUGAUUUUGUCAGCAUCCAACUGUUCUCGAAUUGGUUUAUUCAAGAAUUUAAAACAUCCCAAUGCGAUAAAAGAAUGGAAUCCUAGAAUUCCUAUUCGAGAAAUUUUUGGGCCCUUAGGCGCUAUUGUAGCUAGUAUAUCGCAUUUUUCUUCAUCUUACUAUUUACUAACGCAUAAUAAAAUCCUGUUAAAAAAAUAUUUGUUCGUUGACAAUUUAAAACAAACCUUCCAAGUACUUCAAGAACUUAAAUACUCUUUAAUAGAUGAAAAUAAAAGGAUUUCUAAUUUCGAUAGUAACAUAAUGUUGGAUCCAUUCCUUUUGAAUUGUCACUUUGUCCAUCAUGAUUCUUGGGAAGAGACAUUGGCAAUAAUUCACCUUGGACAAUUUAUUUGUGAAAAUCUAUGUCUAUUUAAAUCUCACAUAAAAAAAUCCGGUCAAAUUUUCAUUGUAAAUAUGAAUUCCUUUGUUAUAAGAGCAGCUAAACCUUAUUUGGCCACUAGAGGAGCAACUGUUAAUGGUCAUUAUGGAGAAAUCCUUUACAAGGGAGAUAGGUUAGUUACGUUUAUAUAUGAAAAAUCAAGAUCUAGUGACAUAACUCAAGGUCUUCCAAAAGUGGAACAAAUCUUUGAAGCGCGUUCAAUUGAUUCAUUAUCCCCGAAUCUCGAAAGGAGAAUUGAGGAUUGGAAUGAGCGUAUACCAAGAAUUCUUGGGGUCCCUUGGGGAUUCUUGAUUGGAGCUGAGCUAACCAUAGCCCAAAGUCGUAUCUCUUUGGUUAAUAAAAUCCAAAAGGUUUAUCGAUCCCAAGGGGUACAGAUCCAUAAUAGACAUAUAGAGAUUAUUAUACGCCAAGUAACAUCAAAAGUGCGGGUUUCCGAAGAUGGAAUGUCUAAUGUUUUUUCGCCUGGGGAAUUAAUCGGACUAUUGCGAGCGGAACGAGCAGGACGAGCUUUGGAUGAAUCGAUCUAUUAUCGGGCAAUCUUAUUGGGAAUAACAAGGGCUUUCCUAAAUACCCAAAGUUUCAUAUCUGAAGCAAGUUUUCAAGAAGCUGCUCGAGUUUUAGCAAAAGCUGCCCUACGAGGUCGCAUUGGUUGGUUGAAAGGCUUGAAAGAAAACGUAGUUCUGGGGGGGAUUAUACUUGUUGGUACCGGAUUCCAAAAAUUUGUGCAACGUUCCCCACAAGACAAGAACCUUUAUUUUGAAAAAAAAAAUCUAUUCGCGUCGGAAAUGAGAGAUUUUUUGUUUCUCCAUACAGAAUUAGUUUCUUCAGAUUCUGACGUAACAAACAAUUUUUAUGAGACAUAAGAACCCCCAUUUAACAUUUAACCCUAUAUCAUUUAAGGAUACAUAAAAAAUAUUUUUUAUUUCAAGCUAUUUCGGAUCUUUCUUAAUCUUCAAAAAGAACUAAAUUCCGUAAUGGAAUGGUAGGAUUCAAGAAAAAGGAAGUGUGGAAAAAAUGACAAGAAGAUAUUGGAACAUUAAUUUGAAAGAGAUGAUAGAAGCAGGAGUUCAUUUUGGUCAUGGUAUUAAGAAAUGGAAUCCUAAAAUGGCCCCUUACAUUUCGGCAAAGCGUAAAGGUACUCAUAUUAUAAAUCUCACUAGAACGGCUCGUUUUUUAUCAGAAGCUUGUGAUUUAGUUUUUGAUGCAGCAAGUCAGGGAAAAAGUUUCUUAAUUGUUGGUACCAAAAAAAGAGCAACAGAUUUAGUAGCAUCAGCUGCAAUAAGGGCUCGUUGUCAUUAUGUUAAUAAAAAGUGGUUCAGUGGUAUGUUAAUGAAUUGGUCGAUUACGAAAACUAGACUUUCUCAAUUUAGAGACUUAAGAGCAGAAGAAAAAAUGGGAAAAUUCCACCAUCUCCCAAAAAGAGAUGUGGCAAUCUUGAAGAGAAAAUUAUCUACCUUGCAAAGGUAUCUCGGCGGGAUCAAAUAUAUGACGAGAUUGCCAGACAUUGUGAUCGUCCUUGAUCAGCAAAAAGAGUAUAUAGCUCUUCGGGAAUGUGCCAUUUUGGGGAUUCCUACUAUUUCUUUAGUCGAUACAAAUUGUGACCCGGAUCUCGCGAAUAUAUCGAUUCCAGCCAACGAUGACACUAUGACUUCAAUUCGAUUGAUUCUUAACAAAUUAGUAUUUUCAAUUUGUGAGGGCCGUUCUCUCUAUAUAAGAAAUCGUUGAUUAAGAAUAUAUAGUGAAUUCUUGGGCAACUGCGUAAAUUUAUGGAAUCACUUACUUUACUAUAUCUUUUUUUUUUGCAUAGAAUUUUUUUUGCAUAUAAAAAAGAAGGGGAAUAUUGAUAUAUAUUAGAGUGUAUUGAUAUAUAUUAUGAUCUGAUGUGCUUUCUUGGUAUCCUAAAUAUAAGAUUAAUACUUCAAGUUGCUGAGUUGAGAAAGAGAUGGUUGAAUCAAAAGAAUUCCUUUUUUGAAGUUCAAUUUUUAUCAGAGGACAAUAUGAAUAUUAUACCUUGUUCCAUUAAAACACUCAAGGGGUUAUACGAUAUAUCGGGUGUAGAAGUAGGCCAACACUUCUAUUGGCAAAUAGGAGGUUUCCAAAUUCAUGCCCAAGUACUCAUCACUUCUUGGGUCGUAAUUACUAUCUUGCUAGGUUCAGUUGUCAUAGCUGUUCGGAAUCCACAAACCAUCCCGACCGACGGUCAGAAUUUUUUUGAAUAUGUCCUUGAGUUUAUUCGAGACUUGAGCAAAACUCAGAUUGGAGAAGAAUAUGGUCCCUGGGUUCCCUUUAUUGGAACUAUGUUCCUUUUUAUUUUUGUAUAGAAUUUUUUUUGCAUAGAAAAAAGAAGGGGAAUAUUGAUAUAUAUUAGAGGGUAUUGAUAUAUAUUAUGAUCUGAUGUGCUUUCUUGGUAUCCUAAAUAUAAGAUUAAUACUUCAAGUUGCUGAGUUGAGAAAGAGAUGGUUGAAUCAAAAGAAUUCCUUUUUUGAAGUUCAAUUUUUAUCAGAGGACAAUAUGAAUAUUAUACCUUGUUCCAUUAAAACACUCAAGGGGUUAUACGAUAUAUCGGGUGUAGAAGUAGGCCAACACUUCUAUUGGCAAAUAGGAGGUUUCCAAAUUCAUGCCCAAGUACUCAUCACUUCUUGGGUCGUAAUUACUAUCUUGCUAGGUUCAGUUGUCAUAGCUGUUCGGAAUCCACAAACCAUCCCGACCGACGGUCAGAAUUUUUUUGAAUAUGUCCUUGAGUUUAUUCGAGACUUGAGCAAAACUAAGAUUGGAGAAGAAUAUGGUCCCUGGGUUCCCUUUAUUGGAACUAUGUUCCUUUUUAUUUUUGUUUCGAAUUGGUCGGGUGCUCUUUUACCUUGGAAAAUUAUAGAGUUACCCCAUGGGGAAUUAGCAGCGCCCACGAAUGAUAUAAAUACUACUGUUGCUUUAGCUUUACUCACGUCAGCGGCAUAUUUUUAUGCUGGUCUUAGCAAAAAAGGAUUGAGCUAUUUCGAGAAAUAUAUUAAACCAACUCCAAUCCUUUUACCAAUUAACAUCCUAGAAGAUUUCACAAAACCAUUAUCACUUAGCUUUCGACUUUUCGGGAAUAUAUUGGCGGAUGUUAAUUGGUAAAAGGAUUGGAGUUGGUUUAAUAUAUUUCUCGAAAUAGCUCAAUCCUUUUUUGCUAAGACCAGCAUAAAAAUAUGCCGCUGACGUGAGUAAAGCUAAAGCAACAGUAGUAUUUAUAUCAUUCGUGGGCGCUGCUAAUUCCCCAUGGGGUAACUCUAUAAUUUUCCAAGGUAAAAGAGCACCCGACCAAUUCGAAACAAAAAUAAAAAGGAACAUAGUUCCAAUAAAGGGAACCCAGGGACCAUAUUCUUCUCCAAUCUGAGUUUUGCUCAAGUCUCGAAUAAACUCAAGGACAUAUUCAAAAAAAUUCUGACCGUCGGUCGGGAUGGUUUGUGGAUUCCGAACAGCUAUGACAACUGAACCUAGCAAGAUAGUAAUUACGACCCAAGAAGUGAUGAGUACUUGGGCAUGAAUUUGGAAACCUCCUAUUUGCCAAUAGAAGUGUUGGCCUACUUCUACACCCGAUAUAUCGUAUAACCCCUUGAGUGUUUUAAUGGAACAAGGUAUAAUAUUCAUAUUGUCCUCUGAUAAAAACUGAACUUCAAAAAAGGAAUUCUUUUGAUUCAACCAUCUCUUUCUCAACUCAGCAACUUGAAGUAUUAAUCUUAUAUUUAGGAUACCAAGAAAGCACAUCAGAUCAUAAUAUAUAUCAAUACCCUCUAAUAUAUAUCAAUAUUCCCCUUCUUUUUUCUAUGCAAAAAAAAUUCUAUGCAAAAAAAAAAGAUAUAGUAAAGUAAGUGAUUCCAUAAAUUUACGCAGUUGCCCAAGAAUUCACUAUAUAUUCUUAAUCAACGAUUUCUUAUAUAGAGAGAACGGCCCUCACAAAUUGAAAAUACUAAUUAGUUAAGAAUCAAUCGAAUUGAAGUCAUAGUGUCAUCGUUGGCUGGAAUCGAUAUAUUCGCGAGAUCCGGGUCACAAUUUGUAUCGACUAAAGAAAUAGUAGGAAUCCCCAAAAUGGCACAUUCCCGAAGAGCUAUAUACUCUUUUUGCUGAUCAAGGACGAUCACAAUGUCUGGCAAUCUCGUCAUAUAUUUGAUCCCGCCGAGAUACCUUUGCAAGGUAGAUAAUUUUCUCUUCAAGAUUGCCACAUCUCUUUUUGGGAGAUGGUGGAAUUUUCCCAUUUUUUCUUCUGCUCUUAAGUCUCUAAAUUGAGAAAGUCUAGUUUUCGUAAUCGACCAAUUCGUUAACAUACCACUGAACCACUUUUUAUUAACAUAAUGACAAGAAGAUAUUGGAACAUUAAUUUGAAAGAGAUGAUAGAAGCAGGAGUUCAUUUUGGUCAUGGUAUUAAGAAAUGGAAUCCUAAAAUGGCCCCUUACAUUUCGGCAAAGCGUAAAGGUACUCAUAUUAUAAAUCUCGCUAGAACGGCUCGUUUUUUAUCAGAAGCUUGUGAUUUAGUUUUUGAUGCAGCAAGUCAGGGAAAAAGUUUCUUAAUUGUUGGUACCAAAAAAAGAGCAACAGAUUUAGUAGCAUCAGCUGCAAUAAGGGCUCGUUGUCAUUAUGUUAAUAAAAAGUGGUUCAGUGGUAUGUUAACGAAUUGGUCGAUUACGAAAACUAGACUUUCUCAAUUUAGAGACUUAAGAGCAGAAGAAAAAAUGGGAAAAUUCCACCAUCUCCCAAAAAGAGAUGUGGCAAUCUUGAAGAGAAAAUUAUCUACCUUGCAAAGGUAUUUCGGCGGGAUCAAAUAUAUGACGAGAUUGCCAGACAUUGUGAUCGUCCUUGAUCAGCAAAAAGAGUAUAUAGCUCUUCGGGAAUGUGCCAUUUUGGGGAUUCCUACUAUUUCUUUAGUCGAUACAAAUUGUGACCCGGAUCUCGCGAAUAUAUCGAUUCCAGCCAACGAUGACACUAUGACUUCAAUUCGAUUGAUUCUUAACAAAUUAGUAUUUUCAAUUUGUGAGGGCCGUUCUCUCUAUAUAAGAAAUCGUUGAUUAAGAAUAUAUAGUGAAUUCUUGGGCAACUGCGUAAAUUUAUGGAAUCACUUACUUUACUAUAUCUUUUUUUUUGCAUAGAAUUUUUUUUGCAUAGAAAAAAGAAGGGGAAUAUUGAUAUAUAUUAGAGGGUAUUGAUAUAUAUUAUGAUCUGAUGUGCUUUCUUGGUAUCCUAAAUAUAAGAUUAAUACUUCAAGUUGCUGAGUUGAGAAAGAGAUGGUUGAAUCAAAAGAAUUCCUUUUUUGAAGUUCAGUUUUUAUCAGAGGACAAUAUGAAUAUUAUACCUUGUUCCAUUAAAACACUCAAGGGGUUAUACGAUAUAUCGGGUGUAGAAGUAGGCCAACACUUCUAUUGGCAAAUAGGAGGUUUCCAAAUUCAUGCCCAAGUACUCAUCACUUCUUGGGUCGUAAUUACUAUCUUGCUAGGUUCAGUUGUCAUAGCUGUUCGGAAUCCACAAACCAUCCCGACCGACGGUCAGAAUUUUUUUGAAUAUGUCCUUGAGUUUAUUCGAGACUUGAGCAAAACUCAGAUUGGAGAAGAAUAUGGUCCCUGGGUUCCCUUUAUUGGAACUAUGUUCCUUUUUAUUUUUGUUUUGAAUUGGUCGGGUGCUCUUUUACCUUGGAAAAUUAUAGAGUUACCCCAUGGGGAAUUAGCAGCGCCCACGAAUGAUAUAAAUACUACUGUUGCUUUAGCUUUACUCACGUCAGCGGCAUAUUUUUAUGCUGGUCUUAGCAAAAAAGGAUUGAGCUAUUACGAGAAAUAUAUUAAACCAACUCCAAUCCUUUUACCAAUUAACAUCCUAGAAGAUUUCACAAAACCAUUAUCGCUUAGCUUUCGACUUUUCGGGAAUAUAUUGGCGGAUGAAUUAGUCGUUGUUGUUCUUGUUUCUUUAGUCCCCUUAGUAAUCCCUAUACCGGUCAUGUUUCUUGGAUUAUUUACAAGCGGUAUUCAAGCUCUUAUUUUUGCAACAUUAGCCGCAGCCUAUAUAGGUGAAUCCAUGGAGGGUCAUCAUUGAAUUGACUCUUUUUGGAAAUAGUAUUUUUUUUGCAGCUUAGCUCAAUACAUGCAUGGUUCCAGAUAAUCUGCUUGGUUGCAAAAAAAUAGUUAGAAAUGCGUAUGAAUAUAUAGCCUAGAGUUGUAGGAGAGAGAAUAGAAUAGACUAUAUUAUGGAAUUUUCAAAGUAUAUAUGCAUUAAGGAGGGUGGAGUCAGGCUAGAUCUAUACUAUAAUAUCCUUAAUGUCUAUAAUUGGAGUCCUCUUUUAUGCAGGUUUCCACUAUAAGCAAUGAUUUUAGAAUCCGAUUCAAUAGAAAAUGAGAAAAUAUGCAAACAAAAUAGAAGAAACAAAUGUAUAUAUAUAGGAUAUUAUAUUAUAUAUUCCUGGGCUAGAUUCAUUAUCUAAUCCGAUAUAUGGAUAUGGAAUUCCCUUGUAUGUAGUUCGGACAAUUCACAUUAUCAUUUCAAUUUGAUUUCAAUUUGUACUUUUUAGUUACUUUACUUCUCCCCAAUAGAGCUUAGAAGUAAGAAUUUAUUGGUUGAUUGUAUCCUUAACCAUUUCUUUUUUUUGACACGAGGAACUACUCACCAUGAAUGCACUAAUUGCUGCUGCUUCUGUUAUUGCUGCUGGAUUGGCCGUAGGGCUUGCUUCUAUUGGACCUGGAGUUGGUCAAGGUACUGCUGCAGGACAAGCUGUAGAAGGUAUUGCGAGACAGCCAGAAGCAGAAGGUAAAAUACGAGGUACUUUAUUUCUUAGUCUAGCUUUUAUGGAAGCUUUAACAAUUUAUGGACUAGUUGUGGCACUAGCGCUUUUAUUUGCGAACCCUUUUGUUUAAUCUUAAAAAAUUCUUUCGAUUUCGAUUAGAUACUUUUUUUUUCUUUUUUAGUAAAUUGGUAUUUGCUUCCGCAAUUCCAAUUAUAUCAAUACUUUAUUUAAUUUACUCCUAUUUAUUACUCCUGGAAUUAUCUAUUUAUCGGGACAGAUAAUACCCCAUUCUAGGAAGGGCUGAGUUGAGUAUUAUUAAUUUAGAAGAUAUGCUCACCUUCUUAUUUCCCGUCCUUAGUUUAGGAAAGUGGAAUGUUUUUUCCUUUUAUUUUAGGAAUUUUGGGAACAGAACAUUUCAACAAAGGAAGUCUUUCACCGGUCAAACAAGACGUAAGACUUAAUCUAAAAGAAAUUACUAGAUUGAAUCUAUUUGCAUUAAAAAAACCGAUCAAAAAAGGGCGAGCGAAGUAAGUGAUCGAAAAACUUUGUUCUUUGUUCGUCCUAUCUAUAAGAGGAGAGCAUAUGAAAAAUGUAACCCAUUCUUUCGUUUUUUUAGCUCACUGGCCAUCCACUGGCAGUUUCGGGCUUAAUACCGAUAUUUUAGCAACAAAUCUAAAAGUCUAACUGUAGUGGUUGGUGUUUUGAUUUUUUUGGAAAGGGAGUGUGUGCGAGUUGUCUAUUUCAAGAAUAGAUUGGAUCUAUCCGGCUGCACUUUAUAAUAUUUUUUAGUAUUUUUCGGAUAAAUAAGAAAAGGGUGCACGAUCUCGACGAAUUACUUCUGAAUAAAUUCAGAAAUCAUAUGGAAGAACCAUAGCAUUUCGCGACUCAUUGGUAAAUCAACUUUGAUUCUCUAUAAACCAAGAAUGUGAGACCAUUAACAUGGUUAAAGCUAAACUGCUUGAAGUCCAGGCAAAAAGAGGUACUCUUUCUACAACUAUAUUAGUAUUAGUACCGAAUUUAAACGGGAAAUAGCUAAUGUAAAAUUUAUCUGAUAUAGAACACUCAUAUCGAUAAAAUGGUUUGAACUAUUUACUAGAAAAAAAAGGGGGCACCCUACCCUUUUUUAACCAAUGCCGAAUCGACGACCUAUGUAUAAAAAAGAGAAAUUUUUUGGAUUUGAAGAAAAAAAUAAAAAAGAAUUCUAUUAAUUUUCAUUUUCCAUUUAUUUAGUUAGUUUUUCUUAAUGAAAUUGAAAUUAUUAACUAGAGGGCAAAUAAAAAUAAAGAAACAACUUUGCUGACCAUGAUAUAUUUUUAUCUAGGCGGAAGAGUCCUCUUAAUAUUUAUCUAGUCUUAUAUAGGUUUCGGUAUAUUGAAAUAUAAACAUAAAAAAGAAGAUAGAGGAUAGGCUCAUUACUUAAAAAAAAGAUAUGGAAAUAGCUAUAGAAAAAAAA
This 27279-nucleotide long non-coding RNA is filed under the name Triticum aestivum (bread wheat). Lineage: Eukaryota; Viridiplantae; Streptophyta; Magnoliopsida; Poales; Poaceae. The record is from RNAcentral.